CAGGGAAACGGAGAGCUAGAGACACAGAACCCAGAGGCAGCAUCUGGUCACCUUCACCACGUGGCCCAACCACAAUGGGUCCUGUCCGCAGGCCCGCUCCAGGUCCCUUCUGUGUCCACACCUGGGAGGCAUCGGUUUUCCCCGAUCUGCUCCCUCGUUAAAUCGCUUGCACAAGCAUCUACCUCAGCAGCCACCCGUCUCUGACCCCACUCCUCCCUGAACUCAUCUCCGUGCUGGGGAUGCUGGUCUGGGGCUCUCAGCGCCCCUGAAUCUGGGGAUGGGGGCAGUGAUUUCCUCAAGAACAAGGAGAAGUGAGAAGGCUGAGCAGUGGUCCCCAAGGAGUAUGAUGCCCGGUGUGCAGACCGUCAGAUGUCGCUGCUCGGUGGGGUCAGAGUUGGAGGCAGACGGAUGAAGAUGCGCUUCUCCAGGUCUUGGAUGACAGUGGGAGUCUUUUUGCCCCACGGCGAACUGGUUACCAGGUUUCAUUAUCUCCUGGACCACAGAUCUUUGAAACCCAGGGGGGCCAAAGAAAAAGAGACCCAUCACCCACUUGUUCCAGAUCGGAAUGCAAUUAGGACGGGAGAAGUGGUCGGUUUCACAGCCCCAUUUCACAGACAGAGGAACUAAGGCAGAUGGACGUGCGCAGGGCCCCGGGCUGGAGCAGAGAGGGCGGGCGAUGAACAUCUUACGGGUGUGAAAGGAGGCUCAGAGACACAUAGGUCUGGAACUGGACCCAAGGCUGGAACUGGAGCUGGAACUGGAAGCCAGGCCUGUUACCUCCAAUUUCCUGCUAUUUCUGCUCCCUCUUUGCUGCCAUCUGGGGGCUUUUUCUGGGCCUCUGUUUCCGCAUCUGUGAAAUGGGCCCAGAGACGGGACGCAGGUGAGCGUGAAGUGGUCUUAGGUUUUGGGUGGUCCAGGCCCUGUUACCUCCAAUUUCCUGCUAUUUCUGCUCCCUCUUUGCUGCCAUCUGGGGGCUUUUUCUGGGCCUCUGUUUCCGCAUCUGUGAAAUGGGCCCAGAGACGGGACGCAGGUGAGCGUGAAGUGGUCUUAGGUUUUG
Molecule: long non-coding RNA, 1057 nt
Filed under: Equus caballus (horse)
Lineage: Eukaryota; Metazoa; Chordata; Mammalia; Perissodactyla; Equidae
Description: lncRNA (ENSECAG00000043763.2)
Source: RNAcentral